RNAcentral lists this transfer RNA (76 nucleotides) under Rhodospirillales bacterium. RNAcentral's name for it is "tRNA-Thr". It matches the Rfam family "tRNA". From Rfam's summary of the family: Transfer RNA (tRNA) molecules are approximately 80 nucleotides in length. Their secondary structure includes four short double-helical elements and three loops (D, anti-codon, and T loops). The record is from RNAcentral. Lineage: Bacteria; Pseudomonadati; Pseudomonadota; Alphaproteobacteria; Rhodospirillales.
GCUGCCGUAGCUCAGGUGGUAGAGCACGUCCUUGGUAAGGACGGGGUCGGUGGUUCAAGUCCACUCGGCAGCACCA